Oncorhynchus masou masou (cherry salmon) is the source of this 868-nucleotide long non-coding RNA. RefSeq lists it as uncharacterized. NCBI's taxonomy places the organism in Eukaryota, Metazoa, Chordata, Actinopteri, Salmoniformes, Salmonidae. The record is from RefSeq and is a predicted model, not a curated record. The transcript has 7 exons.
UUCCCUCUUAGAAAAGCAAACAUGGGUGGAGAAGAAUCAAGGCCAGUUCCGACACCAUCACCCCCACCAAAGAAGGUAUACAUAGGUGCUGGUGAAAUCCUUUUUUCAGAACAACAGAGUCUCAGUCUCAGGAGGAACUAGUACCAACAAGGUAGGUGCUGGUGAAAUCCUUUUUUCAGAACAACAGAGUCUCAGUCUCAGGAGGAACUAGUACCAACAAGGUAGGUGCUGGUGAAAUCCUUUUUUUCAGAACAACAGAGUCUCAGUCUCAGGAGGAACUAGUACCAACAAGAAAAGCAAACAUGGGUGGAGAAGAAUCAAGGCCAGCACCGACACCAUCACCCCCACCAAAGAAGGAAUUUGACAGAGAAUGGAGGGAAACACUUUGGAGUAAAGGAGAGAGAGACCACAUGGUGGAUAAUCUGAGGAGCUUUAAACUGAGUGAUCCUGACGUGGGUCAGCUCAGAUGCCUGCUAUAUGGACCAGUCGGUGCAGGAAAGUCCAGCUUCAUCAACUCAGUCAACAAUGUCUUCCAAAAUCGGACAACAAGUGGUGCCCUGGUAGCUGCUGCCUCUGGCUUAAGCUUCACCACGACAGUAAGCUGCAGUGCCUAAAACGUUUAACACAGACACCAUGCAGGCAUGGAAUAUGGCUACCUAAUAUAUCCUGGUACACUAAGACACAGUAUUUCAUGAGCUACAAACAGGCAGAGACAUGAAGAGGGACUUACAGGAACAAAGAGGUUGUCUGCGCUGUUUUAAAUGCAAAACGUAGUCAAUCACAGGGGUGUAGGUUUGCAAAAUUAGGACCAUGGAAAGUAUAAAUACAUUCAGACAGUUGGAAACUUCAAAUAAAAAAUGGAGACAAA